Eurytemora carolleeae is the source of this 213-nucleotide long non-coding RNA. RefSeq lists it as uncharacterized. The record is from RefSeq and is a predicted model, not a curated record. NCBI's taxonomy places the organism in Eukaryota, Metazoa, Arthropoda, Copepoda, Calanoida, Temoridae. The transcript is spliced from 3 exons.
CAGCAUACCCUAAACAGGCUGGCGAUUAUAUGGAAGCCAAUCCAGAAGGAGGAAAAAUGUAUUUAAUUGAAACAGCAGAUGAACAAAUUUCACUUAAAUCUGGUUACUAGAAGAUUGUACAAGAUGCUGGAAAUGGAAUAAAAUUGUUCCAAACUGAGAAAUAUCUGUAUUCUUAUAAAACAUUGUUUUUUAAUAAAUAUCCAACCAACAUAA